UGGGAUUUGUGUAUGUGAUUGCAGUUGAUGUUCAUAGUAAUUACACAUGUAAAUCUCAGU
RNAcentral lists this microRNA precursor (60 nucleotides) under Ornithorhynchus anatinus (platypus). Its description in RNAcentral is "microRNA oan-mir-7435 precursor". Lineage: Eukaryota; Metazoa; Chordata; Mammalia; Monotremata; Ornithorhynchidae. The record is from miRBase by way of RNAcentral.